Molecule: ribosomal RNA, 1285 nt
Filed under: uncultured bacterium
Lineage: Bacteria
Description: bacterial SSU rRNA
Rfam family: Bacterial small subunit ribosomal RNA
Source: RNAcentral
AGUGGCGGACGGGUGAGUAACGCGUGGGUAACCUGCCUUAUACAGGGGGAUAACAGUCAGAAAUGACUGCUAAUACCGCAUAAGCCCACGGCUCGGCAUCGAGCAGAGGGAAAAGGAGCAAUCCGCUUUGAGAUGGCCUCGCGUCCGAUUAGCUGGUUGGUGAGGUAACGGCCCACCAAGGCGACGAUCGGUAGCCGGACUGAGAGGUUGAACGGCCACAUUGGGACUGAGACACGGCCCAGACUCCUACGGGAGGCAGCAGUGGGGAAUAUUGCACAAUGGGGGAAACCCUGAUGCAGCGACGCCGCGUGGAGGAAGAAGGUCUUCGGAUUGUAAACUCCUGUUGUUGAGGAAGAUAAUGACGGUACUCAACAAGGAAGUGACGGCUAACUACGUGCCAGCAGCCGCGGUAAAACGUAGGUCACAAGCGUUGUCCGGAAUUACUGGGUGUAAAGGGAGCGCAGGCGGGAAGACAAGUUGGAAGUGAAAUCCAUGGGCUCAACCCAUGAACUGCUUUCAAAACUGUUUUUCUUGAGUAGUGCAGAGGUAGGCGGAAUUCCCGGUGUAGCGGUGGAAUGCGUAGAUAUCGGGAGGAACACCAGUGGCGAAGGCGGCCUACUGGGCACCAACUGACGCUGAGGCUCGAAAGUGUGGGUAGCAAACAGGAUUAGAUACCCUGGUAGUCCACACUGUAAACGAUGAUUACUAGGUGUUGGAGGGAUUGACCCCCUUCCGUGCCGCCAGUAACCACAAUAAGUAAUCCACCCUGGGGAGUACGACCGCAAGGUUGAAACUCAAAGGAAUUGACGGGGGCCCGCACAAGCAGUGGAGUAUGUGGUUUAAUUCGACGCAACGCGAAGAACCUUACCAAGUCUUGACAUCCUGCGACGGUGCUGGAAACAGUACUUUCCUUCGGGACGCAGAGACAGGUGGUGCAUGGUUGUCGUCAGCUCGUGUCGUGAGAUGUUGGGUUAAGUCCCGCAACGAGCGCAACCCUUAUGGUCAGUUACUACGCAAGAGGACUCUGGCCAGACUGCCGUUGACAAAACGGAGGAAGGUGGGGAUGACGUCAAAUCAUCAUGCCCUUUAUGACUUGGGCUACACACGUACUACAAUGGCGUUAAACAAAGAGAAGCAAGACCGCGAGGUGGAGCAAAACUCAGAAACAACGUCCCAGUUCGGACUGCAGGCUGCAACUCGCCUGCACGAAGUCGGAAUUGCUAGUAAUCGCAGAUCAGCAUGCUGCGGUGAAUACGUUCCCGGGCCUUGUACACACCGCCCGUCA